ACCUUUGGCAGAUAGGGAUGUUUUUCGUCAUCGAAGGCUCUUCUUAGAACCCAUUUCUCGAUACGCCCUUCGUCUUUCUUGAUCUGAUUCAUAAAUAAAGGUAUUCCUUAUAUGUCUGUAAAUCUCAACCGUAAAUAAUAAGAGGAAAAUG
Molecule: long non-coding RNA, 151 nt
Organism: Hibiscus syriacus
Lineage: Eukaryota; Viridiplantae; Streptophyta; Magnoliopsida; Malvales; Malvaceae
Exons: 3
Source: RefSeq, a predicted model, not a curated record